Molecule: long non-coding RNA, 2026 nt
Organism: Vulpes vulpes (red fox)
Lineage: Eukaryota; Metazoa; Chordata; Mammalia; Carnivora; Canidae
Source: Ensembl
AUGCUUCCAAGGCCGUGCCCAGCUGUCCGUGGCUCCCCCAGGACGGGGCCGGGUCUGACCGUCCCCCAUCCCAGACGCACCGUCCGGGGAGGCGAGGUGGGCAAGCCCGCAGGAGGCCUUGUCCGGGGUCGAUCUGGCUCGGCUCCUCCCCUGGGGCACCGGCUGUUAGGAUUCAAUGAGCGGAUCCCGUGUGCCCUGCGUGUGCUCACUACGUGGCCAGUUGGCCCCUUGGCCGGGGUCUGGGAACGUGCCUUGUGGCCCCGGGCAGCAGGAGGUCCCAUUUGCGGUGUCCAUGCUGCGCACCUGUCCCAGGUGAGUCGCCCGGACCGUGAGGGCCCCACGCAGGGCCCGUGUGAGUCUGUCCUUCCUCUGCUCGUGUCCAGAGACGGAGACGCCUUCGGAGGGAAGCGCAGCAGUUCCCCAGCGGCCGCGGCCGAGCUCGGGGGGCCGCUGGCCCAGCGCGGGGCGAACACUCCACAUCGCCUCCCGCGGGGGGCCUGUCCUGACCGCCCGGCUCUCCCUGGAGGACGUGGCCCAACCUGGAACGAUCUCUGCUGGCCCGUGCAUGGUGUGCUCUGUCCUCUGCCAAAACGUGAGCCCCUGGGAAGGCGGCCGGCAGGUGGAGGGCCCCGGGUGGGAAUCGGCUGCCAGCUGUCCCCAGCCUGGGGGCAGAGCCCUGAGGCCAUGCCGUCUGCAGCUCAAACUUGCUCCGCCUUGCUGGGCGCCUCCACUUCUGCUCCUUGAUCUGUAGGUUGGAGAUGAUGAUGCCCCUCAGAGGGGCUUGAGGGUUAUGUAGCUAAGGGGCCUGGAGUGGUGCGGGCAUGUCUGGGGCCCAACAAACACUUGCGGGUGAAAGAAUGAGCAUAGCCAUUCCCCGGCUGUCGUGGCUCUGCCACCUGUGAGAUGUGUGGCCUUGGUGACGCCUCUUUGCCUCCCUUGGCCUCAGUGUCCUGCUCUGAACAAUGGGACCUACCCCAUGGCAGCCUCCAAAUCCGUCACCCAGGAACAAGAGACAUGGGGCUCUUUCAAGGAUCUCCCGGGUGCUCUGUGUUGUCCGUGGGGUCACUGAGGUCCCGCCUGGGACCCCAAGUUCCAUCAUGCAAAACACGUUGAGCAAAGCACACACACACAGUCCGUGAAGAGGCCACAGGAUGCAGACGGGGGAGUUUGGGCGCAAGGCUGGGCCUGGGUCGUCAGGGCACCCAAGACAAGAAGACCCCAGGCCGCAGGUCUGUUCUCUGUAAAAUCCUGAGCCGCGGCCGCCCAAGGACCCCCACCCACCCAGACGGAGAGGCGUGGACUGGGAGUCAGGGGAGAGGAAACAGGACAAAGUGCUGGCUCAGCACCACAGAAGGCAGACGGGUCUCCCCGCAGCAGCCUCUGACCAACAAAAAAUUGACGGCAACGAAUGACCAUUAACGGCGCCCGAAUGAAUCAACGGCACUUACGGACACGAGGCCAGACGGGCCGAUAGUACGUGCACAGACAAGUGUGGCUGUCGUGGGUGACACGUGCACGCAGCCAGCCCCACUCAGGUGCACAACACACACCCCUGCCCCCACCGCAGUCACAAAAAACUUUAUUGCUUCCAUGCAUCAAAAGCCGUCUAGAAAAAUCCUUUGAGGAGGUGGCAGGGACACCUGCCUCCCCUAGAAUAGUGGCCCCCUUGGGGCCCAAGAGAGGCUUUCAGAAUGGGGUGCCGGUUGGGGGCACUUCAGUCCCAUUGCACUUGCUUUACAAGUACAUGGAGGGUGGGGGAGAGACAGAGGUGGUGGAGGUAAAGGGGCGAGAUGAUCGAGACCUGGAUGGGGAGAGAUGACGGAGAGACAGAGAUGAGAGAGACGGAGAGAUUAAAGCCUCGGAAAGCUCAUGCAGAACAGUGUGUGACUCUGACUGGUGCAGAUAUUGGCAAUUGUCGUGCUUCUUGGAAUUUUCCCGUAUUUUUAGUUCCAUAAACAAACAAAAACUUUGCAAGAGUUACCAGAGAAGAUACCAAGUGCAAUAAAGUCUUGAAGGACGAGGGACA